CCUACGGGUGGCAGCAGUGAGGAAUAUUGGUCAAUGGGCGGAAGCCUGAACCAGCCAAGUCGCGUGCAGGAUGACGGCCCUACGGGUUGUAAACUGCUUUUAUACGGGAAUAACGCGCCUUACGUGUAGGGCUUUGCAUGUACCGUAUGAAUAAGCACCGGCUAAUUCCGUGCCAGCAGCCGCGGUCAUACGGAGGGUUCGGGCGUUAUCCGGAUUUAUUGGGUUUAAAGGGAGCGUAGGCCGGAUGUCAAGCGUGCUGUGAAAUGUCCGGGCUCAACCCGGGCCUUGCAGCUGAAACUGGCGUGAUUGAGUCCGCGUAAAGCAGGCGGAAUGCGUGGUGUAGCGGGGAAAUGCUUAGAUAUGACGAAGAACCCCGAUGGCGAAGGCAGCAUGCUGCAGCGGAACUGACGCUGAGGCUCGAAAGCGCGGGUAUCGAACAGGAUUAGAUACCCUGGUAGUC
This 460-nucleotide ribosomal RNA is filed under the name uncultured bacterium. RNAcentral describes it as "partial 16S ribosomal RNA". It matches the Rfam family "Bacterial small subunit ribosomal RNA", at positions 338 to 795 of the family's 1533-position model. The record is from RNAcentral.